This 478-nucleotide ribosomal RNA is filed under the name uncultured Streptococcus sp. RNAcentral describes it as "bacterial SSU rRNA". It matches the Rfam family "Bacterial small subunit ribosomal RNA", at positions 901 to 1382 of the family's 1533-position model. The record is from RNAcentral. Lineage: Bacteria; Bacillati; Bacillota; Bacilli; Lactobacillales; Streptococcaceae.
UUAAAGGAAUUGACGGGGCCGCACAAGCGGUGGAGCAUGUUGGUUUAAUUCGAAGCAACGCGAAGAACCUUACCAGGUCUUGACAUCCCGAUGCUAUUUCUAGAGAUAGAAAGUUACUUCGGUACAUCGGUGACAGGUGGUGCAUGGUUGUCGUCAGCUCGUGUCGUGAGAUGUUGGGUUAAGUCCCGCAACGAGCGCAACCCCUAUUGUUAGUUGCCAUCAUUCAGUUGGGCACUCUAGCGAGACUGCCGGUAAUAAACCGGAGGAAGUGGGGAUGACGUCAAAUCAUCAUGCCCCUUAUGACCUGGGCUACACACGUGCUACAAUGGUUGGUACAACGAGUUGCGAGUCGGUGACGGCGAGCUAAUCUCUUAAAGCCAAUCUCAGUUCGGAUUGUAGGCUGCAACUCGCCUACAUGAAGUCGGAAUCGCUAGUAAUCGCGGAUCAGCACGCCGCGGUGAAUACGUUCCCGGGCCUU